AUUCCAUUAAAAAAAAAAUCAACUGUGCUAUAAAAGCUAGUUGGCAACUGCAAGAACUACUGCAAUAAAUUCAAGAGCCAUGGUUUUUCCUUCAAAUUAUGAAAAUGGCUAAUGAAUCCAAGAUCCAUCAUACACAAUCACUAAUCAUAUCACUAAUGAAUCAACUCUCUUUUACACAAUUUGGGCACAAAUUGUAUACUUUUAGACAAAAGAAACCAGUAUAAUUACAAAAAUGAUACAAAUUCCUACACCAACUACGGUACUGUGGCCGUUGAGCUUUGCUGAACUAGAGGAGCUCUUCCCUAUAAACUCACCUGAGCUGGGCACAGGUGCCAAUUCCUCUGGUAUUGGUGGAUCUGCAGAACUUGGAGGCCACUGAUCAGUUGGUGUAGGGAAAAAAGAGGACAUAUCGGGUGCAGUUACAUAUGGCAAGACUGCUGGAGAAGCUGUAAUCAUAGGAUCACUAGAAAGAGCAAGAAGCACAUUAGAGAAGAGGAUAACCACUGACAUUGCAGCAACGGCAGAAGCAGAAGCAAAGAACUUUUUGAAGGUAGCCAUGAAUGUUGCUGGAAAUGAACUCUAGCUGUGAUGACUGAUGAUGAGGAAGAGAGAGCUAGUUUAUAAGUGAAAUGGUGAAGGAAAAAGAUGGGAAUUCACGUAUUAGUUGCGCAUCACGGGAUAAGCAGUAGGAGAUUUAAUUGUGCCCUGACUUUGUUAGCCUCAGCCUUUAUGGCCUUAUUUAAAAAGAACCCAUCAACCAUUCGUUUUCUCUUUGAAUUUUG
RNAcentral lists this unclassified non-coding RNA (782 nucleotides) under Hevea brasiliensis (rubber tree). Lineage: Eukaryota; Viridiplantae; Streptophyta; Magnoliopsida; Malpighiales; Euphorbiaceae. The record is from RNAcentral.